Molecule: transfer RNA, 123 nt
Filed under: Fusarium vanettenii 77-13-4
Lineage: Eukaryota; Fungi; Ascomycota; Sordariomycetes; Hypocreales; Nectriaceae
Description: tRNA-Leu for anticodon CAA
Rfam family: tRNA
About the family: Transfer RNA (tRNA) molecules are approximately 80 nucleotides in length. Their secondary structure includes four short double-helical elements and three loops (D, anti-codon, and T loops).
Source: RNAcentral
GUCAAGAUGGCCGAGCGGUCGAAGGCGCUGUGUUCAAGACCCACUUGAGUUCUCUUGCCCUCUAAACAAGGGUGUACUUCCACAGUAUCGAAAGAUUCUUGGGUUCGAAUCCCAAUCUUGACA